Molecule: ribosomal RNA, 690 nt
Filed under: uncultured Gammaproteobacteria bacterium
Lineage: Bacteria; Pseudomonadati; Pseudomonadota; Gammaproteobacteria
Description: bacterial SSU rRNA
Rfam family: Bacterial small subunit ribosomal RNA
Source: RNAcentral
UGCAAGUCGAGCGGUAGCACAGAGAAGCUUGCUUCUUGGGUGACGAGCGGCGGACGGGUGAGUAACGCGUAGGAAUCUACCUAAUGGUGGGGGAUAGCCCAGGGAAACUUGGAUUAAUACCGCAUAAGUCCUAAGGGAGAAAGCGGGGGAUCUUCGGACCUCGUGCCAUUAGAUGAGCCUGCGUAAGAUUAGCUAGUUGGUGAGGUAAGAGCUCACCAAGGCGACGAUCUUUAGCUGGUCUGAGAGGAUGAUCAGCCACACUGGGACUGAGACACGGCCCAGACUCCUACGGGAGGCAGCAGUGGGGAAUAUUGGACAAUGGGGGCAACCCUGAUCCAGCCAUGCCGCGUGUGUGAAGAAGGCCUUCGGGUUGUAAAGCACUUUCAGAUGUGAGGAAAGGUUGCAGAUUAAUACUCUGCAGCUGUGACGUUAACAUCAGAAGAAGGACCGGCUAACUCCGUGCCAGCAGCCGCGGUAAUACGGAGGGUCCGAGCGUUAAUCGGAAUUACUGGGCGUAAAGCGCGCGUAGGUGGUUUCGUCAGUCAGAUGUGAAAGCCCAGGGCUCAACCUUGGAAUUGCACCUGAUACUGCGGGACUAGAGUACGAUAGAGGGGAGUGGAAUUUCCGGUGUAGCGGUGAAAUGCGUAGGAUAUCGGAAGGAACACCAGUGGCGAAGGCGACUCCCUGGAU